CUUUGUGGCCAAACCUCCUUGUCAAAGCCUCAGCUUGUCAGAUCUCAGAAGCUAAGCAGGGCUGGGUCUCCUUAGUACUUGGAUGGGAGACCGUUGAGAAUACCAAGUGCUACAGUGG
Molecule: ribosomal RNA, 118 nt
Filed under: Periophthalmus magnuspinnatus
Lineage: Eukaryota; Metazoa; Chordata; Actinopteri; Gobiiformes; Gobiidae
Source: RNAcentral